This 454-nucleotide long non-coding RNA is filed under the name Olea europaea subsp. europaea. The record is from RNAcentral. Lineage: Eukaryota; Viridiplantae; Streptophyta; Magnoliopsida; Lamiales; Oleaceae.
CUUUUUUGUGAGUAUUGGUCGGGGUUCUGUCAAAGAGAACCCACGUAUACCCGACAUUGCUGUAUUCCUUCAAAAAUGACGGAAACCUUCCACAACCGGUUCUCUACUGUUACUUCAUUGGUAAUGUAAUGAAGUUUGCUCUCCCAAAAUAUCUUUCCAACAAACCAAAGACGCUCCUCUCCCUCUCUCGACAAAAGCCCUAAAAUUUUUCAUAAAGAACAACAAAUCCAUCGUUUGACGACCAUAUGAAAGUGCAAGAAUUAGAAAUCUGCAAAAGGAGCUUCUCUAUCGACGAGGAAACUGGAACAAAAAGAAAUAUGCAAACAAAUUAGAUAGUCGGAAUGUGAAGUGCCAUUAUGAGCUUCGUUAGGUUGGUUAGUUGUUUUUAUUUUUUUUGGUUUUGGGGUCUUACGUAUUUUUAAAUUUUGUUUCUUUUUUGGAAGGAAAGGAGGAU